RNAcentral lists this unclassified non-coding RNA (553 nucleotides) under Hevea brasiliensis (rubber tree). The record is from RNAcentral. Lineage: Eukaryota; Viridiplantae; Streptophyta; Magnoliopsida; Malpighiales; Euphorbiaceae.
AGAGAUACUGCUUUUUCCACAUUGGAAAAUGGCAUGGCUAGUAGCAAUGGCUUCUACACGACAAGCUAUCAGUCUGUUUAUACCAUGGGGCAAUGUGAAGGGGAUGUUGGCUCCGCUGAUUGUGCUGAUUGUGUGAAAAAUGCUGUUCAAAAAGCUCAGGUGGAAUGUGGAAGCUCCGUCUCUGGCCAAAUCUUCCUGCACAAAUGUUUUAUUGGUUAUAGUAAUUCUCCAAAUGGGGUCCCUAGAACAUCACCGUCGUCUUCAGAUUGGUCCCCUUCUUCAUCUUCAGGGUCAGGGCAAAAUGUGGGGAAGACAGUGGCUAUAAUACUAGGAGGGGUAGCUGGAGUGGGGUUUAUACUCAUAUGCGUGCUGUUUGCAAGGAAUCUAAUGAAGAAACAUGACGAUUAUUGAAGGGGUCAGACUUGUUUGCUAUGACCGGCAACGCUUUCCUGAGGUGGAUUAUUUUUUUCGAUUCUCUUCUUGAAAGGAAAAUAGAAAUCAAAGGAUUUUGUGUCUGUAAUUCUUGGUUUUUCUUAGUUAAACAGGGAUAUGA